RNAcentral lists this long non-coding RNA (2230 nucleotides) under Hordeum vulgare. RNAcentral's name for it is "long non-coding RNA (HVUL_LNC020777)". Lineage: Eukaryota; Viridiplantae; Streptophyta; Magnoliopsida; Poales; Poaceae. The record is from RNAcentral.
GUCAGGUAUACUAUAAUAUCUUGCAUCUAGCAGUGGCACAUGCUAUAAUUUAUCUGCUUGCUUACUUAGGCUCUAGCAGUCUAGUCGUAACACAAAGUUUUGAACUUUUUAUUCAGCAUAAUCUAAUACUAAUAGUAGGUAAUACUUCUAGUGUUUGUAACUAAACUAAAGAAAGCACUUUGUAUUUCUUGCUUUUUUUGUAACAACAACAUAAUCUAGAGUAAUUAAAUAGGUUCCCUCAGACAUAAUAAGUUCCAAAAACGAAUCACACAAGCAGAUCAAAAUAGACAUACCAACGGAUUCCUCUGCCUGGACUAGAGAUAUUUGUGUUAGGGUCGCUUUCUCCUCUCACUGUCCAUGUUUGUCCAUAAAGACAAGGGGCUUUGCUGCAAGUGAGCACCACAUGAUUUUGUCAUUUAUGUGCCCCCCAACCACAUCAUGGUCCAUAGGAGAGUAGCAUACAAGGUAUGGGACUGCGUGGACACAUGAUUGUGUUUGUGGAGGCUGUACUAUUUGAUCUUUGUGGCACUCUUAAAUAUAUCCAGAAGAUGGAUAGGUUGUAGGUAAAAAUAAUAAAACUGAGGUUGUUCAGCCUCCAUAAGUGAGGAGUGAGAUGAGGCCACACAAGCCUGAAGCUUCAGCUAGUCUUCUAUUUUCCUACUAGCUAAGCUGCUAAGUGCUAACAAAUAGUACACGAUAGCCUGUUCUAGGAUAUCGAAUAGGGUUAUUGUUUAUUGAGUUGUGCUCUUCUUGCUCACUAAUAUGAGAUGCUAAGUUUGCCGAUAAGAAGAAUGAUCUGCUACCAUGCCUUCCUUGUUAUUGACUAGCUUUUGGUCACUUUAUUAAUCCUUUGUUCCUGUGUUGUGCUUGUGGGUUCUUCACUUUUGUUUCAAGCUUUGGUCCGAUUCAGUAUCCUGUAGUUUUGCAAAUAUAUGGGUCCUGUAGUAUCCUGUAGUUCCACAAAUAUAUUUAGUAUCCUGUAGUUCCACAAAUAUUCAGUAUCAUGUAGUCCUACAUGUGGAUAUGGAUUAUAUCCACAUAUAAUCCAUAUCUACAAGUAUUACCGUACUGCAGUUUUGUAAAUAUAUUAACACAGGGCAGUCAAAAUUAUACAUAAUAUAGACGUGUUUCUCCAACUACUAGCUGCGUCACAUGCGUACACUAAUUAAUUGGGUUUAGAAGUCAAAAUUAUUCAGUAAAAUCUGAAUCUGGCUCUAGCAGUCUAGUCGUAACACAAAGCUUGCUUAAUUAGGUCUUUGUUUAAUGAUGGGUUCAUGACCCUUAUUAUGCCUUGCUUGAACCAGAAAUGCGAGCUGAAGAACAUGGAUAUGAGUAGGCCCAUCGGCGAGAAGUGCACAAUCGAGGAACAAGUGUUGUGUAUUUAUUUUUCGAAUGAAUCGCAAAAGUUUGGAGUAGUUUGUACUAAAUUAUCAAGGAUGAUACGUAAUUUGUGCUGAAUUAUCAGAAAAGUUCUUGCUUAUAUAUGCUAGUGCUGCAUUCAAAUGCUAUGUUGCACACCAUUUUUUGUAUGAUUAUCAAGGAUUUUUGUUUAUCUUGUUAUACGAUGCACAUCAAUUUUGUAUGGUUAUCUAGGAUGUUUGUUUUUCUUGUUGAAAUUGAUGGGUCAUUAAUAACUGAACCAAACCCCCCUUUUAGUUUGAGAGAACCAAAUGAGUCUGAAGAGAAGGGGUUUGACAUGGAUGAGCUAUGCAGUGGAUUGGUGACAGGCAGGGAUCAAUUCGAUCCCUUAGUGGAUUAGUUCCACUAGGGGAUUAGUUCCCCUGGAACCAAAUAAGGCCUUAGGGAUAGGGGUGGGCAGGGGAGAAUCCUCACCGUAGCCUCGAAGGAGGAGAUCAACACCCAAAGGUGUCGACUUCGAUAUGCCCACCUCACCGACCAGAAGUUUCCUCUGGAUCCACACACUCCCAACAGAUCCAUGGAGCCAGCACAUGGGGAAGACGACUACAACCGCUGGGAACUGGAGCCGGCGUAGAACGGAGUAGAUCGGGCGAAGGGCAAAUCAACUCCCAGAUUGAGCAGAUGGCCAGCGAGGAGCCACCACCUACGCUACCCGCAUGUCAGAGGGACGACCCACCUGCACCCGGCGGAGCCACCAAGUCCUCGUCGCCACAUUCACCGGUGUUGCAUGCCCAUCUCGGAGGAUACCACUGGCGGCGGAGGAGGAGAAGUAGGGAGGAUCGGGGAGUGUUGGCGGCAGCUAGGGACAUGG